Molecule: long non-coding RNA, 352 nt
Filed under: Arachis ipaensis
Lineage: Eukaryota; Viridiplantae; Streptophyta; Magnoliopsida; Fabales; Fabaceae
Description: long non-coding RNA (AIPA_LNC001919)
Source: RNAcentral
ACUUUUCUAUUUGAAUCUUAUUUCAAGAUUUUUUCUUUUAGUGUCGUUUUUGUUCUAUUUUCCUUUCUUUCAGUUAAAAAGAACUCCAAAGUCUACUUUUUUGUAGAUCACGGUAAGAGAAAGAGAAAUUUCUAAUAUUUUUUCUAUUUACUUUUUCAAUAUUUUUAUCUAUCUAUCUAUCUAUCUAUCCGAGUAAUUAAUAUUAAUUGAAUUAAAAUAUUUUAAUUAAUAUUAAAUAAAAUAAUAGAAAUAAUAAGAGAAGAGACUGUAAGUGAAAAGUCUCUUUCUCCCAGUCAUUAAUUACCGGAAAUAUACCGGAAGCACCGAUAGAAAAAGAAAAUAUUUGAUACGU